Molecule: ribosomal RNA, 409 nt
Filed under: uncultured bacterium
Lineage: Bacteria
Description: bacterial SSU rRNA
Rfam family: Bacterial small subunit ribosomal RNA
Source: RNAcentral
CAGCAGCCGCGGUAAUACAUAGACCUCAAGCGUUAUCCGGAUUUACUGGGCGUAAAGCGUGCGCAGGCGUCCUGUUAAGUCUUCAGUGAAAUCCCCCGGCUCAACUGGGGAAUUGUUGGAGAUACUGGCAGGAUUGAGUGUGACAGAGGCAGAUGGAAUUCCUGGUGUAGCGGUAAAAUGCGUUGAUAUCAGGAGGAACACCAAUGGCGAAGGCAAUCUGCUGGGUCACUACUGACGCUCAGGCACGAAAGCGUGGGGAGCGAACGGGAUUAGAUACCCCGGUAGUCCACGCCGUAAACGAUGGGUGCUAGGCAUUCGGGGAUUAGACCCCCUGGGUGUCGUAGCUAACGCGUUAAGCACCCCGCCUGGGGAGUACGGUCGCAAGACUAAAACUCAAAGGAAUUGACGG